AAACCCACCUCCAACGCCUUCAGGCACACAUCUGUCCGGUGAACGGAGGCUGAGGCGUGGCUGCCCCCUCCCCUGCGUCUGGCAGGGCUGAAGUGCGCCCAGCGCCCUCACGGGGGGAGGGGGUGGACGCCGCCAUGUUGGCCACCGCUUGGCUGGGCAGAUGCUCCUGGGGGCUCCUGAAAGGCGCCAGCCGGCCCCUGCGGGGCAGCGGCGCGAGGCCGCUCGCGAGCCGGUCCCGGGCGACCGGAGGCGUAAACAGCCGCCGCGGCUUCUGCCUCGCGCUGGGGGCCCCCCCGCUGAGCGGCCUCGCGCCGCGGGCGCCGCCCUCCUCUUCCUCCUCCCCCCCCGGCGCGAGGCGGGAGUCGCGGCUGCUGCUGCUGCGCGCGCCCUCCCCGGCCCCGCUCUCCCCGGAGCGGCUCGCGAGCGGCUCCCCGCGCCCCGGCGGCCGGGGCCCGGUCCCCGCCGGCGGGGAGAGCCCCCAGCCGCGGCGGCGCAGCGACGGUGAGGCGGGCCCGCCGGGGGACGCGGCGCGGAGGGGCCGAGGAGCCGCCAGCGGCUACUCGGAGCUGUAUGAAAACCCAUGGACAAUCCCAAAUAUACUUUCUCUGGCAAGAAUUGGUUUGGCUCCAGUUUUGGGUUAUUUGAUUGUUGAAGAAAAUUUCAACAUUGCAUUGGGUGUUUUUGCUUUGGCUGGGAUAACAGACUUGUUGGAUGGGUUUAUUGCACGAAACUGGGCCAGUCAGAAAUCUGCUUUGGGAAGUGCCCUUGACCCGCUAGCUGAUAAAAUUCUUAUCAGUGUCCUGUAUGUCAGCCUCACUUGUGCAAGUCUUAUUCCAGUUCCACUGACUACUUUGAUCAUUUUGAGGGACAUAGUGCUAAUUGCUGCUGUUUUUUAUGUGCGAUACAAAACACUGUCCCCACCGAGAACACUUAGUAGAUAUUUCAACCCCUGUUAUGCUACUGCCCAGUUAAAACCAACUUUCAUCAGCAAGAUGAACACAGCAGUUCAGCUAAUCUUGGUGGCAGCUUCUUUAGCGGCUCCUGUUUUCGAUUACGUAGAUAGCAUAUAUCUACAGACUUUAUGCUGACGUUUUCUUUUUGGCUGAAACAGAACCAAGCAAUAUAUCAGUGCUUAAUUUGUUAUGAGAGAAAUAGCUAAACACAUGAGGAAGCCAGUCAAAACCCAAGGAUGAAAGUUAAGAAACUAAAGUCUUCCAAAUCAGCAUGAAGGCAUCACAGAAGGUGCAUUACAGCUUUCACAACAGCAACGUCUGCAUACAGUUAUUAUCAUUAUGGUCGGAAAACAGUCCAGGUAAUAAACAACAAAUGAAGUGUUAUAGAAAGGACCAUCUCAUCACAUCACUGUUUUCUAUACUGUAAAGGACAAUAUAACUGGCCUAUGAAUAAGAACUCAGUGUUUUUCCUUAGGACAGUUUUUUCAAUUCAAACCAUGUCAUCACAAUUGGACUGAUAUGAAGUAAAAGUGAAGUCUGAUCAUGUACUGUAAAUGUAUUGAAUUUUCAAUGUAUUUUUGAAAGUUAUAAAUAAAAAUAUAAUUGUUAAAUAAAAUCACAAUGUUCUUAAAGGCACUUUUAAGUCACCAGUAGCUGUCCUGCAUUUUGAAUCUUGUAUCUCUUUUUAUAUUGCUUUUCAGAAGCUAAAGUUUGCAUGCUUCAUGCAGAAUUGGAUCGUAUAUUAGAUUCUAAUAGUGUGCUGACGAAGCUCCCUUUUCUUUUCAGAUCUAGUACACAUGGAGUUAUACUGUCACAAGACAGAAUCACUUAUUAGGAUUUACUAAAUAUUAUAGUUUGCUGCAAAGGAAAGCAUUAAAUCACUAGGGAAUGAUACCUUCAGAAAUGUAAAAAGAACAGGAGGACUUGUGGCACCUUAGAGGCUAACCAGUUUAUUUGAGCAUAAGCUUUCGUGAGCUACAGCAAAGUGAGCCUCUUUUCCCUCAAGUUUUUAAAUCUUCAUUGUGAUAUGAAUAAUACAGUCCAUACAGUAUUUCAGAGUUAGUGAUCUUGGUAUUUUUACUGAAGAGAAUCUGUCCCCAGAGAGAAGAUUCUAGUGACAUUAGGGCUCAUGGUGUAGUGUCAGAUGUAGAUAAAUCGAGUUCUUAAAUAGAAGCGUGUUUCUAGUACUGCUAGUUGGUAGUGGUUGAGAAACCAAGGCACUGAACUUCCUGUGUGAGCUAUACUGUGCUGUUUUAAAACCUGCUUGGUCACUUUGAGAUCAUCUUGGAGCAGAAAUGUCAGCGUAAAUAGAACUGAGAAAAAUCAAGGCAUUUUAAAUGCUUUUCGAAAUCACUGGAUUAAUUAGAAACCGUUAAAGCUGCAUAUUUUGUGCAUGAUUCUCCUAUAUCUUUGACUGCGUUGUUCAUCAGGGAUUGCUAUGAUCUCAAUUUACCACCUGUGAUCAAAGAAUAGGGCAAAACUAUUUAAAGUUACAGAAUUAAAUGCCUGUUCCUUGCUUAUACUCUGAUAGCCACAAAAAGUAUAAGACAAGAGAUUUCAUAUUAACAGUAAUGAAAUCUACUUAUUAAAUACUUUGGCGCCAGGUAUGGUGUGUUUUGCAUGUAGUAGCAAAGAAUUGAGGUGUCAGGAGGUAAAGUAACUGAAAAAUAGUUGGACUAUGGUGCUCUAUCACCAAAAGUGAAUUUAUUAGAUAAUGAUUUUGAGGGGGUGUAGUUGUAGGUGUGUAUAUAAAACAUUUAAAUUUUUUAUCUUUUAACUUGUAUAGAAAUGGUACACAGACAAUGUUUAAUUUUUAUUCAAUACCUGUCUCUUAGCUAUCACCAUGUAUAGCAGUCCAGAUCUGUCUUAUGUACAACGGAAGGAUAAAUGUAAAGCAAAUCAUAUAAAAUGUUUUUUCUUAACAUGCAUGUUUAGUUAAUUGGGAGUAUGGUAUUUCUUCAGGAACACAAUUUUAAAAUGGAGAGAUGACAAAGUCCAUUCAGGUUAUUCCUUUUUUUGUUCAUUACCACCAUCUCAAGUAUAGUGAGGUACACCUGAAUAUGUUGUUCAUAGUGUUGAGGCUGUUGAAGGAUCAUGUCAGCAUGCAGGUGCCUCAGCACAUUUAUGAAUAAAAUGGCUACACCGUUU
Chelonia mydas (Green sea turtle) is the source of this 3101-nucleotide RNA transcript. It is a transcript of the gene named cardiolipin synthase 1, with no coding region annotated. Lineage: Eukaryota; Metazoa; Chordata; Testudines; Cheloniidae. The record is from RefSeq and is a predicted model, not a curated record. The transcript is spliced from 8 exons.